This 480-nucleotide ribosomal RNA is filed under the name uncultured bacterium. RNAcentral's name for it is "bacterial SSU rRNA". It matches the Rfam family "Bacterial small subunit ribosomal RNA", at positions 28 to 507 of the family's 1533-position model. The record is from RNAcentral.
GACGAACGCUGGCGGCGUGCUUAACACAUGCAAGUGAACGGACUUUACGAGAAUGAAGUUUUCGGAUGGAAUUUUCGAAGAGUUAGUGGCGGACGGGUGAGUAACGCGUGAGGAACCUGCCUUUCAGAGGGGGACAACAGUUGGAAACGACUGCUAAUACCGCAUGAGACCACGACCCGGCAUCGGGAUGGGGUCAAAGAUUAAUCGCUGAGAGGUGGGCUCGCGUCUGAUUAGAUAGUUGGUGGGGUAACGGCCUACCAAGUCGACGAUCAGUAGCCGACCUGAGAGGGUGAUCGGCCACAUUGGGACUGAGACACGGCCCAGACUCCUACGGGAGGCAGCAGUGGGGAAUAUUGCGCAAUGGGGGCAACCCUGACGCAGCAACGCCGCGUGAAGGAUGAAGGUUUUCGGAUCGUAAACUUCUGUCGUAAGGGACGAAUUUUGACGGUACCUUACAAGGAAGCCACGGCUAACUACGUG